UGUCUCUCUUGAGUGGAUCCUGAGUACGACGGAGCACGUGAAAUUCCGUCGGAAUCUGGGAGGACCAUCUCCUAAGGCUAAAUACUCUCUAGUGACCGAUAGUGAACCAGUACCGUGAGGGAAAGGUGAAAAGCACCCCGGAAGGGGAGUGAAAUAGAACCUGAAACCGUGUGCUUACAAGUAGUCAGAGCCCGUUAAUGGGUGAUGGCGUGCCUUUUGUAGAAUGAACCGGCGAGUUACGAUUUGAUGCAAGGUUAAGCAGUAAAUGUGGAGCCGUAGCGAAAGCGAGUCUGAAUAGGGCGUUUAGUAUUUGGUCGUAGACCCGAAACCAGGUGAUCUACCCUUGGUCAGGUUGAAGUUCAGGUAACACUGAAUGGAGGACCGAACCGACUUACGUUGAAAAGUGAGCGGAUGAACUGAGGGUAGCGGAGAAAUUCCAAUCGAACCUGGAGAUAGCUGGUUCUCUCCGAAAUAGCUUUAGGGCUAGCCUCAAGUGAUGAUUAUUGGAG
RNAcentral lists this ribosomal RNA (509 nucleotides) under Staphylococcus aureus. RNAcentral's name for it is "partial 23S ribosomal RNA". It matches the Rfam family "Bacterial large subunit ribosomal RNA", at positions 389 to 901 of the family's 2925-position model. Lineage: Bacteria; Bacillati; Bacillota; Bacilli; Caryophanales; Staphylococcaceae. The record is from RNAcentral.